Molecule: ribosomal RNA, 124 nt
Filed under: Hucho hucho (huchen)
Lineage: Eukaryota; Metazoa; Chordata; Actinopteri; Salmoniformes; Salmonidae
Source: RNAcentral
UUUACUUACCCAUCUACAUACAAUACUCCAUAAUGACAAAGUGAAAACAUGUUUUUAGAAAUGUUGGGCCUGGUUAGUGCUUGGAUGGGAGACGGCAUGGGAAUACCAAGUGCCGUAAGCAAAA